Molecule: long non-coding RNA, 2108 nt
Filed under: Homo sapiens (human)
Lineage: Eukaryota; Metazoa; Chordata; Mammalia; Primates; Hominidae
Description: HSALNT0159059
Source: RNAcentral
GAUCACGCCACUGCACUCCAGCCUGGGCAACAGAGCGAGACUCCGUCUCAAAAAAAAAAAAAAGAGGACAAAUGUAACAUAUCCAGUGAUGAGCAUGUCGGUCUGGGACUGUGGGAGGCAGAGGGUGCAGUGAGCCAAGAUCGCAUCAUUGCAUUUCAGCCUGGGUGACAGAGUGAGACUCUAUCUUGAAAAAAUUUUAAAAAAAAAUUACUAAGACAAAUCAAAUUCCCUGACCUGCAGUCAAAUGUAUUUCUCCUUCAUCAUGAGCCCCUCAGAGAAACAAUUAACAAAUUUAUUUUUUCACUCAGCCCUUUUUUCUAAAUGCCAAUUGAGUAUCAAAAUGUUUUCUUGUCUACUCAGCCCACUGAAGUGACAAUAAAAUAAUGAAAGCAGCCUGUGACUCAGCAAGUUUAAUAACAUAGAAUGUUUAUAUCUUGGCAAAUAACACAGUCAGCAAAUUUAUGUGUGUCAUAUUUCUUUCUUUCUCUCUUUUUUGUAUUUUUAGUAGAGUCAGGGUUUCACCAUGUUGGCCAGGCUGGUCUCGAACUCCUGACCUCGUGAUCCACCCACCUCAGCCUCCCAAAGUGCUGGGAUUACAGGCGUGAGCCACCGCGCCCGGCCACAUGUCAUAUGUCAACCUCCACUUUUUAAAGCUUUUUGUCUACAGUAACCAUUUGAAGAACAGGAAAGAAAAAAGCAGUAUUUUCUAGAGUACAUUAUAGGCAGGGAGACAGCACUAGCUGUCUACCCUCCAGGAUUCCCAUCUUCAGCCUGUCCAAUGGAACCUGGAUUGUUCAGAUGCUGGGAGCAUUUGUGCUUCCUGGUUCCCUCUCUAAUCAUUGAGAUGCAUGUGCUGACUCAUCUAAGCAGCCACCAAGGCGUGGGCCUGGACCAGCGGAUCCACAUUGCCUGGGAACAGGUUAGAAAUGAUCUGCUUAGGCCCCCUCCAGGCCUGCUGGACCAGAAACCCUGGAGCCCAGGAACCUGUGUUUCAUCUAACUCUCUGGAUAACCCUGACGCAUGCUUGUGUCGAGAACCUUGGUCUAACCAGGGGUGUCCAAACUUUUAGCUUCCCUGGGAAACAUUAGAGGAAGAAUUGUCUUGGGCCACAUAUAAAAUACACUAACACUAAUGAUAGCUGAUGAGCUAAAAAAUAAGUAAAUAAAAAAUAAAUAAAUAAAUAAAUUUUAAUAAAAUUUAUUUAAAAAAUAAAUUUAAUAAAUGAAAUUUUAAUAAAUAAAUAAAUACAAAUUAAAAAAAUAAAAAUCUCAAAAAAAAUCUUACGAUGUUUGAAAGUUUAUGAAUUUGUGUUGUGGCACAUUCAAAGCCAUCCCGGGCCAUGGCCCACGGGCUGCUGCAGCUUGGACAAGCUUGAUCUAAACGAAUCACAGCAAUUCUGCUCCCUUUGCCAACUACUGGAUUAGGCUGGGUAACUGUGACCAAUGAGGGCUGAGAGGAAGUCUCCCAGGAGGCCUCCAGGAAUGCUUUACUCGUUCACAUACAGAAAAGAACAAGAGGAAACAACCUAUCCCUCCUGUUUCUGGUUGAGAUAUGGUCAUGUCUUCAUAUGACAGAUACUUGGAACUGUAGCAGCAAUCUUUUAACCAUUAGGUGAGAAACCCAAAGACCGAGCCACUAAGUCAAGGAUGGUGGAAGGAAAGGGCCUGAAAGAGCCCUGGCGACCUUGGUGAGCCACUGAGCAUUCCUAAAAAUACCCAAUCUCCAGGCUCCUCGUUAAAUAAUGUAUUUUUUAAAUCCCAUGUGUAAGCUAUUUUCGGCUUCUGUUAACUUGCAAUUCUGACUGUAACAUUUUUUUUUUGUCAAGUCAAGCCUCAAAAUAGUAUAAACAACAUAAUCUCAUUUUUAUGUUAUAUAAAUUUAUACAUAUUAUAUAUAACUGUAUUAUAUUAAAUGUUCUAUUAUAUAAUAUUUUAAUGGGAAGUAUUUUGGAAAGAAUGAAUCUAUAACUUUUUUUUUUUUUUGAGACAAAGUCUCGCUCUGUCGCCCAGGCUGAAGUGCAGUGGCGCGAUCUCAGCUCACUGCAAGCUCCGCCUCCCGGGUUCACGCCAUUCUCCUGCCUCAGCCUCCCGAGUAGCUAGGACUGCAGG